GCCCGGGUGGCGAAAUUGGUAGACGCAACGGACUUAAAAUCCGUCUUCCGCAAGGAAAUACCGGUUCAAGUCCGGUCCUGGGCACCA
RNAcentral lists this transfer RNA (87 nucleotides) under Gammaproteobacteria bacterium. Its description in RNAcentral is "tRNA-Leu". It matches the Rfam family "tRNA". From Rfam's summary of the family: Transfer RNA (tRNA) molecules are approximately 80 nucleotides in length. The record is from RNAcentral. RNAcentral also lists the same sequence under 1 other name. Lineage: Bacteria; Pseudomonadati; Pseudomonadota; Gammaproteobacteria.